Drosophila biarmipes is the source of this 530-nucleotide RNA transcript. RefSeq lists it as uncharacterized. The record is from RefSeq and is a predicted model, not a curated record. The transcript has 2 exons. NCBI's taxonomy places the organism in Eukaryota, Metazoa, Arthropoda, Insecta, Diptera, Drosophilidae.
ACCGUAAACCUGCGUGCGCAUGAAACCAGCUAUACCGACAUAUUGAAUCACGACCCGACGAAGAUGAUUCGGUGCCAUAGAAACUGUGUGUCGCCAAGAAACAUGGCAGUUCCUUCUUCCAAUGCUAUAAGGAUAGGUUUUUAAAUGCCUCAGUACUUGAUACCAUUAAUGAGAUUGAUCACCUCGAAAUACCAGAGACGCAGGAUUCUGAUGAUGAGAUUAUUGCAAACUCGGAUCAGGAGGUUGUAGAUGCUUCUGAAACGGAAGAUUCGGUUGAUCUUCUCCUACAAGAGUAUUUCAACCUGCUGCAGCUUCUAAACGAUGAAAGCCACGAUCAAUUUCAGUGUGGACAGGAAAUUGAAUUAGACGAAUCUAUCCCUACGGAAAUGUUUCCAGACGAUGACCACAUCUUCUAGGAAAUUUUGGAGCCAACCACCGCAACCAGAAAAUCCCUAUUUAAAUUUGUUGGAUGAUGGAGUUGACAACGCUUAACUCGACGUUUUAUUUAGUCUUUAUUAUUAAAUUUAAAU